ACCAAAUAUAUCCGGUGCACCACUUCUUCAUAAGUAGCCACCUAACUCAUCAUCACCCUCGGGCAUUAGUGGCACCCGACAUGGUUUUCAUAAAACCUUUGAUUUUUACCAUCAUCAUGCUCAUGCUUCUAUUAUGCUUAGCUCUACUUGUCAACAUAAUAUUAGUGUGACCCUCAUAGGUGGUAGGAUCAUGCUCAAAUGCAAGGGCUCCGGAGGAGCCAUCGGAAACAUCAUAUCGAUGAUUUACCGAAUACUCAUGAUCAUAUACAACAGGAAUAAUUGAUCUACUAG
Molecule: long non-coding RNA, 291 nt
Filed under: Hordeum vulgare
Lineage: Eukaryota; Viridiplantae; Streptophyta; Magnoliopsida; Poales; Poaceae
Description: long non-coding RNA (HVUL_LNC015575)
Source: RNAcentral